CUGGGGACCUUCUGGAACACUGGCGAUACUACACAUUUUGCAAACAUUUGCCUUUUGAACUUGUGGAUUGACGGGAUUGACGACAAGAGAGGAAGAGGAAGCGAGGAGGUCCGAGGGCCCUGAAGCCAGGCGAGCUGAGAGCCGGAGUGCACAGGAUGGGCCCCCAGAGCGGAAGGGCCCACGGCUGUUCCCGUCCGCAGUGGGGUGGAGGCUCUGUUCCUUUGGGAAUGAAGUCUGAAGCCUUCGCAGAUGGUGUUUAUUGAUUAUUAACAGACAUGAGCUGUGGUAUCAAAAUGCUAAGUAUUCAGAGACUGCUGCAGAACGAAAUACUGUCCUUACAUGUCAGACCCUUGAGAGUGACAGGUCCGACUUCAGGCUGUGGAUGGAGGCUGCUCUUACAUACAGUGUGAAUUCAUUGGUUGGAUUUUCACCUUCAUCGUACAAGAGCCACAGAAAAACACCUUGAUAAUCUAGCUCAGCAACAAAUGCUCCCAGAAUUUUCUUCUCCAGCUACGACUUCUCUGGAGAUCUCUGGAUUCUGCUCUCAGAAGCACAAUAUGCAGCUGGUCUUCUACCUUUGAACUGGUUAUGACUGUAUUCACAGUUGUUUUCUCAUAGGAUGCUCACAUAGGCAGAGCAGGAGCUAAAUUGGGCUCCAGUAGGGUUUCCUCAUCCUGAGCCCAUUUUUUGUGCACACUGCAUUCAUAAAUAGCUUGUGAGGCUUCGGGCUUCUGAGGUCACCGUGCUUCACACAAUUGU
Molecule: non-coding RNA, 759 nt
Organism: Manis javanica (Malayan pangolin)
Lineage: Eukaryota; Metazoa; Chordata; Mammalia; Pholidota; Manidae
Source: RefSeq, a predicted model, not a curated record